This 301-nucleotide ribosomal RNA is filed under the name uncultured bacterium. Its description in RNAcentral is "partial 16S ribosomal RNA". It matches the Rfam family "Bacterial small subunit ribosomal RNA", at positions 509 to 808 of the family's 1533-position model. The record is from RNAcentral.
CAGUAGCCGCGGGAAUACGUAGGUGGCAAGCGUUGUCCGGAAUUAUUGGGCGUAAAGCGAGCGCAGGCGGUUAGAUAAGCCUGAAGUUAAAGGCUGUGGCUUAACCAUAGUACGCUUUGGAAACUGUUUAACUUGAGUGCAAGAGGGGAGAGUGGAAUUCCAUGUGUAGCGGUGAAAUGCGUAGAUAUAUGGAGGAACACCGGUGGCGAAAGCGGCUCUCUGGCUUGUAACUGACGCUGAGGCUCGAAAGCGUGGGGAGCAAACAGGAUUAGAUACCCGUGUAGUCCCUGUCUCUUAUACC